GAUCUCGCUCUGUAGACCAGGUUGGCCUUGAACUCACAGAGAUCCACCUGUCUCUGCCUCCUGAGUGCUGGGAUUAAAGGCGUGCACCACCACCACAGGCUGAAUGAACUUUCUUUCCUUCCCCCCCCUCACCACAGCUGAGGUUUGAACCCAGGGCCUAGGCAAGCACUCUACCCCUGAGCUAAACCCCCAACUCAUACUUUGCCUUUUGAGACAGUCUUUCCCUGAGACCUGGGGCUGGCCAUCAAGCUCUAGGGCUCUGCUUGUCACCGCUCCCCCAGCCCCUGGGUUACAAGAGUCUGUCCCCACACCUGGCUUCGUACUCAGGUGCUGCCAGUCAAAGCCAGGGCCCUCACCAGUGCCAGGCCAGGGAGGUCACUCAUCCAGUAAAGGCACUUGCUGGGCCCCACCUGGUAGAAGGAGAGAACUGAUUCCAGAACAUUGUCCUCUGACCUCCAUUCACAUGCUGUGGUAUGCACUCGUCCCCACCCAAUCAAUCAAUAAAUGUGACUUAUAAACAUUUUUUUAAGUGGAUGUCAUAGAGAAGCAAUUUUCCAGCCCUCUGGGAAUGUGUGGAGCUCUGAGGAAGCAUCGGCCAUGUCCCUUCCCUUCUAUGGCCUUCUGCAGCACAUCCUGUGGCCCAGUUCCCUUCCACAGAGUCCCCAUCGCUGGCGCUGUGGUCCCAUCCUCAUCACAGCUUGGAGAGCUGGGUCCUAGAGUCACGCAGACCCGGGUUGCCACUAGCUUAGCUGCGAGACUUCAGACAGGGCCCUGGACAUCACUGGCCUCUGUUUCCUCCUCUGGGAACUGAGGACCCAUCUCCAGUGAUGGCAGCCUAGACCAGCUGUGCUUAGCAAGCCUUCAGAAAGGCUGGAGGAACUCAUUCAUGGCUUAUCUUGGUGACAAGACACAGACUAAACUCAGCAAGAUUAAAGACAAGGACGCUGUGACACCACAGUGGAGUCCACAGAAGUCAAUAACCGGAAUGCUUUUCUUCCUUGUUGGAAGGCAUUGAUGUCUGGCGCUACGGCAGCCUUCUUGGCACUAUAUGGAGAAACUUCGACACAUGCCAUGAAGCAAAAAAGAGAAAGGGCUGGGGGGUUGAUGAUGCCACUGAGCUGACAGACAGACCCGGAAGCUUCCACCUCUAGGCUUCCUGUUCCUUAAGCCUCUGUUGAUCAUUCCGUUCCCUGUAGCCAAACUUUCCCUAAAGCAGACAAACAGAUUGAAUAGAAAUAUGGAGCUAGUACUUGAA
Molecule: long non-coding RNA, 1255 nt
Organism: Peromyscus eremicus (cactus mouse)
Lineage: Eukaryota; Metazoa; Chordata; Mammalia; Rodentia; Cricetidae
Exons: 3
Source: RefSeq, a predicted model, not a curated record